Molecule: ribosomal RNA, 452 nt
Filed under: uncultured bacterium
Lineage: Bacteria
Description: bacterial SSU rRNA
Rfam family: Bacterial small subunit ribosomal RNA
Source: RNAcentral
UACGGGAGGCAGCAGGGGGGAAUAUUGCACAAUGGGCGCAAGCCUGAUGCAGCCAUGCCGCGUGUAUGAAGAAGGCCUUCGGGUUGUAAAGUACUUUCAGUCGUGAGGAAGGUGUUAAGGUUAAUAACCUUAGCAAUUGACGUUAGCGACAGAAGAAGCACCGGCUAACUCCGUGCCAGCAGCCGCGGUAAUACGGAGGGUGCGAGCGUUAAUCGGAAUUACUGGGCGUAAAGGGCACGCAGGCGGUUAAUUAAGUUGGAUGUGAAAUCCCCGGGCUUAACCUGGGAAUGGCAUUCAAGACUGGUUAGCUAGAGUCUUGUAGAGGGGGUAGAAUUCCAUGUGUAGCGGUGAAAUGCGUAGAGAUGUGGAGGAAUACCGGUGGCGAAGGCGGCCCCUGGACAAAGACUGACGCUCAUGUGCGAAAGCGUGGGGAGCAAACAGGGAUUUAGAUA